This is a long non-coding RNA of Pan troglodytes (chimpanzee), 925 nucleotides long. The record is from Ensembl. NCBI's taxonomy places the organism in Eukaryota, Metazoa, Chordata, Mammalia, Primates, Hominidae.
GAACCCCAAGGAGCAUGAGGACAUCCUGAACAGAGGCCACCUCAGGGGAGCUGAAGGAGCAGGAGAGCAGCCCUGGUACACCCUGCCCAGGCUCACCUCCUCCUGCAGAACUAAGCCAGGGCUGAGAAGUUCCUUGAAAGAGGCUGCUGUUUGGAAGGCUUGCACAUUUCUGAAGGCUGCCAAGAGAGUGUGCGGCUUAAACCAGAGUGAGGACCCAUGCUUCCUUGAGGUGGAGCCCAGGCACUUGGGCAAACAGCUGAUAGGAGUUCAUUUUGUGAAGCUGUGACGAGUUUUCCAGUAGACCAUGAGCUUGCUGAUGGCAGGAGCCUGCCUGUCCUUGAUCCUUGUUUCUGUGGGGUCUGUCCCAGUGCCUGGCACAGUGGCUUUGGAGAUGGAAGGAAUAGAGGGAGGCUUGAGUAAAAGCCACAUAGGCCACUCCAUGCUCUUUCUGUUUUUGGUAUUUGGGGCAGACCAGGAUGGCAUCCUACGAGAUAAUGGAGUCUCAAUAUGGAAGGAGGUUGGAUCCCUGAAUUGCUGCAUGGAAGAGAGCUGCCUACCACCCUGAACAUCUACUUUGGAUUACUACAGUAGUAAGAAAUAAAAUUACAUUGUGUUGGGCUAUUAUACAUUGGUUGGCUGUAUUCAAUAUGGCAGUUUAGCAUAUACUAAGGAAUAUAAUUUAUUUAUUAAAUGCAACAUACGGAUAUUUUGCCCUCCUGAAGUCCCAUAUCUACUGGAGAAUAAUAUUACACAUGAACACAUACAACAAGAUAAAUAUAAGUAUAUUCUCUUAGUCUCUAGUAAAGUUAUUUGUCCCUAGAAACUCAUCUUUGUUUUUUUAAAAGAAUAUAAAAAAGUGAAUGCUUGAAAGGCCUGCUAGGGCCAGAGGUUGGCUUUCCAGGGCUUUUGGUUCUGUGGCCCUGCC